CGGGGUGAGUAAUGUCUGGGAAACUGCCUGAUGGAGGGGGAUAACUGCUGGAAACGGUAGCUAAUACCGCAUAACGUCGCAAGACCAAAGAGGGGGACCUUCGGGCCUCUUGCCAUCGGAUGUGCCCAGAUGGGAUUAGCUAGUAGGUGGGGUAACGGCUCACCUAGGCGACGAUCCCUAGCUGGUCUGAGAGGAUGGCCAGCCACACUGGAACUGAGACACGGUCCAG
This 229-nucleotide ribosomal RNA is filed under the name uncultured bacterium. RNAcentral's name for it is "partial 16S ribosomal RNA". It matches the Rfam family "Bacterial small subunit ribosomal RNA", at positions 104 to 334 of the family's 1533-position model. The record is from RNAcentral.